Molecule: ribosomal RNA, 408 nt
Filed under: uncultured bacterium
Lineage: Bacteria
Description: partial 16S ribosomal RNA
Rfam family: Bacterial small subunit ribosomal RNA
Source: RNAcentral
GACGAACGCUGGCGGCGUGCUUAACACAUGCAAGUCGAACGCAGUGGCGAACGGGUGAGUAACACGUGAGUAACCUGCCCCCUUCUUUGGGAUAACGCCCGGAAACGGGUGCUAAUACUGGAUAGUGGGGGAUGGGCUCGCGGCCUAUCAGCUUGUUGGUGGGGUGAUGGCCUACCAAGGUGUUGACGGGUAGCCGGCCUGAGAGGGUGACCGGUGAAGUUGGGACUGAGAUACGGCCAAGACUCCUACUGGAGGCAGCAGUGGGGGAAAUUGGACAAUAGGCGAAAUACUGAUGCAGCGACGUCGCGUGAGGGAUGUCGGACUUCGGGUUGUAAACCUCUUUCGAUCAUGGUCGGGUAGUGGGUAAAGAAGCGCCGGCUAACUACGUGCCAGCAGCCGCGGUAAUUC